This 1437-nucleotide ribosomal RNA is filed under the name uncultured organism. RNAcentral's name for it is "SSU rRNA". It matches the Rfam family "Bacterial small subunit ribosomal RNA". The record is from RNAcentral.
CUUAACACAUGCAAGUCGAGGGGCAGCAUUUCAGUUUGCUUGCAAACUGGAGAUGGCGACCGGCGCACGGGUGAGUAACACGUAUCCAACCUGCCGAUAACUCGGGGAUAGCCUUUCGAAAGAAAGAUUAAUACCCGAUGGUAUAAUCAGACCGCAUGGUCUUGUUAUUAAAGAAUUUCGGUUAUCGAUGGGGAUGCGUUCCAUUAGGCAGUUGGUGAGGUAACGGCUCACCAAACCUUCGAUGGAUAGGGGUUCUGAGAGGAAGGUCCCCCACAUUGGAACUGAGACACGGUCCAAACUCCUACGGGAGGCAGCAGUGAGGAAUAUUGGUCAAUGGGCGCAGGCCUGAACCAGCCAAGUAGCGUGAAGGAUGACUGCCCUAUGGGUUGUAAACUUCUUUUAUAUGGGAAUAAAGUUUUCCACGUGUGGAAUUUUGUAUGUACCAUAUGAAUAAGGAUCGGCUAACUCCGUGCCAGCAGCCGCGGUAAUACGGAGGAUCCGAGCGUUAUCCGGAUUUAUUGGGUUUAAAGGGAGCGUAGGUGGACAGUUAAGUCAGUUGUGAAAGUUUGCGGCUCAACCGUAAAAUUGCAGUUGAUACUGGCUGUCUUGAGUACAGUAGAGGUGGGCGGAAUUCGUGGUGUAGCGGUGAAAUGCUUAGAUAUCACGAAGAACUCCGAUUGCGAAGGCAGCUCACUGGACUGCAACUGACACUGAUGCUCGAAAGUGUGGGUAUCAAACAGGAUUAGAUACCCUGGUAGUCCACACAGUAAACGAUGAAUACUCGCUGUUUGCGAUAUACAGUAAGCGGCCAAGCGAAAGCAUUAAGUAUUCCACCUGGGGAGUACGCCGGCAACGGUGAAACUCAAAGGAAUUGACGGGGGCCCGCACAAGCGGAGGAACAUGUGGUUUAAUUCGAUGAUACGCGAGGAACCUUACCCGGGCUUAAAUUGCAUUUGAAUAUAUUGGAAACAGUAUAGCCGUAAGGCAAAUGUGAAGGUGCUGCAUGGUUGUCGUCAGCUCGUGCCGUGAGGUGUCGGCUUAAGUGCCAUAACGAGCGCAACCCUUAUCUUUAGUUACUAACAGGUCAUGCUGAGGACUCUAGAGAGACUGCCGUCGUAAGAUGUGAGGAAGGUGGGGAUGACGUCAAAUCAGCACGGCCCUUACGUCCGGGGCUACACACGUGUUACAAUGGGGGGUACAGAAGGCAGCUACCUGGUGACAGGAUGCUAAUCCCAAAAGCCUCUCUCAGUUCGGAUCGAAGUCUGCAACCCGACUUCGUGAAGCUGGAUUCGCUAGUAAUCGCGCAUCAGCCAUGGCGCGGUGAAUACGUUCCCGGGCCUUGUACACACCGCCCGUCAAGCCAUGAAAGCCGGGGGUACCUGAAGUACGUAACCGCAAGGAGCGUCCUAGGGUAAAACUGGUAAUUGGGGCUAAGUA